Molecule: RNA transcript, 4390 nt
Organism: Passer montanus (Eurasian tree sparrow)
Lineage: Eukaryota; Metazoa; Chordata; Aves; Passeriformes; Passeridae
Gene: RAD51AP1
Gene name: RAD51 associated protein 1
Exons: 11
Source: RefSeq, a predicted model, not a curated record
UUAACCGGGCCGCGGGGAAGGGGGAGCCGGCAUGUUCCGCCUACCCGCUCUCGUCAUCGCAGCUGCGCGUUCGGAGCGGAACUUUCGGCGCUGCGCCUCUGGCGAAGGCGCCAAGCGGCGCCCGCGGCGGCGGGGAUGGCGCGGCCGGUCAGGAGAAACAAGAAAGUUGUUGAUUAUUCUCAGUUUGGGGAUUUGGAAGAUGAUGAUGAAGACUUUGCACCUUCAAGCAAAAAAUCUAGAACACAGCUCAAGGAAUCAAAGAAGGAGAAAAAAACGAAGUCAAAAAAGCCCAAAGAAGUGACUCCAUCACAGACACAGACACUUAGUAAGAGGUUAUCGUUGGACGAGAAACUUUAUAAAAGAGAUUUGGAAGUUGCCUUAGCCUUAUCUGUGAAAGAAAAAUCUGCAGAUCCUCAAAAAGUGCAAAAUUCAGAAAAACAAGGUAAGAAUAUUGAAUUAGAAAAUACACAGAGGAGACCCCCUUUUUCCAACUGCAGUGUAGACAGUGAACUUUUAGGUCUCAAUGAGGUUAUGGAUGAUGAGGCACCUGAGGGUGAUGGGAAGCAAAGGACAGCAGCAACCAAAGGUCCAGCACAUCACAAGUCACUGGUGGUUGACAGUGAUGACAGAGCCCAUGAUCCUGAUUCUGAGCGAGGGUCUGUACCCAUUUCACCUAUAGUUUCUCCUUCCCGGAUAUUGGAACACAACUCUGAGCCAAGGCAGAAGGUGAUGUCCAGUCCCUUGGAAGCAGCUGGGAGGCCUCUACAUGCAUCAAGUCCUGUCACAGACAAAAAGCCUAAAUGGACACCACCAGCUCCGUCAGGAAGCAGUAAUGCUUCUGUGAAAUGUGUUCCUGUUAAGUCACCUACUCACUGCCUAAGACUUGGCCUCUCCAGACUGGCAAGAGUCAAACCUCUCCAUCCCAGUGCUACCACAAGUUAAAUGGUCACUUUAAAUGUUGGUUGCAGUCUGGCAGAUAUUUUUGCCUGUGUAUGCUCUUACUGGAAGUCAGCAGCAUUAGUCAGGCUCAGACAAUGAGGAAUUGCCUUGGAGCUCUGGGGGCUUCAUUGAGGAUCAUGAUACCAUGCUAAGGAUUCAUUAAGCUGAAGAUUCCAAAGAGUUAUAAUCAGGACGUUCUUUCAGAAAUACGUUGUCAACCCCAUCCCAGCAUAAAGGGAAAGAUAAAACGGCCUUUAGACUUUUGGCUCAGGCGGGAACAAUGCUGGAGACGAUUUCGCGGAAUGCCGCGGGGGUACCUGCCAUCAGCAGGCAGCACAAAUCGCCCUGCCAGCAGCAGGACAGGGUUACUCCUAGCAAGUUAGGAAGAGCACAAACGACUCCCACGAAAAAGGUGGGGGGGGGGUCGUCGUCAUCACCCUCAGGGUCUCCACAGACACCUCUGCCAGUCCCACGAAAGCUGUCGGGGCGGGGGCGGAGGCAGGGCCCUGUGGGGCCGGGCCGGGCGGAGCGGAGCGCGGGACCGCGGGAGCCGCCGCGGCGGCAGCGGGAUGCGGCAGACGCGCGUUGAUGACGCAAACCCCAGAAGUGGAGCGGGGAAGGUUUUCUCCCGUCCCACGGGUGCGGGAGAUGCUCCCGCCGAGUGCGGGUGUUGGCACGGAGCCAGGGAGGCGAGCCCAGGCCGAGAGCCAGGCACAGCAAACACCAAACGACGUCGGAGCUGCGCGUGUCCGGGCGGGGUGGAGCUCGAAUGGCACCCGGGCAGCGCGAGUGUCAAUCCCGGGCUGGAGGGAGGCGUUCCCGAGGGCGCGGCUGCCCCAGAGCCGGUGCAGGCGGGGCGCGGCCAGGGCAGGGGCGUUCCUUUCCCCACCCCCGAGAUAGUGCAGGCUGAGCCUGUGCCAGAGCGGGCGGAGACGGGGCCUGGUCGGGGCAGAGACGGCCACACGCCCGUGGUGACACAGGCAGCACGGGGCCUGGUCAGGGCGGAGCGGUUCUCCAAGGCAACACCCUGUCACGGUUGCCAGGCAACCACAGCAGCCAGCGCAUCGCGGCGCUCCGAGCAGGCGUUUGGGGAAAAAAAAAGAGAUCAGGAAACUUCUUCAAGGACAAGAUGGGAAAUUUCUGAGAACCCUCACAGUGCUUUAUCCAGUUUUUUAACAGGGCAACUCCACAGAAAAUGCACCAGAUGUUAUGUGGGGCACUUCACCCAGCUCUUCCACAGGCCAGUUGCACAGAAGCGAUGGCAACAGCAUUUGCUACAGGGCCAUGCUUCAGAUGCAGAAGACAUGGACAUGUGGAAAAAGAACUAUCCAGAAUCUUCAUCUGAAAAGUGAGAAAGCAGCAAGUCUUUGCCCAAGAUGCAGAAAAAAAAAAAGAGAACCCCAUGCAAAUGAAUAUAAUUCCAAAUAUGAUAUAGAUAGAAAUCUUCUAUUGUGAAAAAUUAUUCCCAGGGAGACAAAGUGUCAUGUAAAGAUGAAAGUAUUAGUAAUGAUUCAAUUACCCAGGGUGUCUCAGAAGACAGAGCAUUUUGGAAGUGUCAAUCAGAUCCUGUUUGUGGAGUCAUCAAUUGAUUCCCUAGUGGUUCAGAGUUCUAGGGAUUGCUAGUAUUGAGUUUAUAACCUUUGUUAUUUUUGGUUUUGGUAAGGAAUGCUGAUAGUUGGUGAUUGUUGUUAAUGCUUUGGGCAGGUUGUCUUAACCCCUUCAAACACUUCUUGUUGAUGAGUUGAUUUUGUGUUGUGAGUUUUCAGAUUUUUGCGUUGAGAAUUGUUGUUGGGUGUGUUGUUGUAGCAUUUGCAGCCGGCUUUCAUGUGUUUUCCUAUCUCUUUGUGCGAUCACCUGCAAGUCACGUGUGUCUUCAGGAUCCUGGUUUUUAUUUCCUAACUACUAUAUUUCUGAGGUUUUUUUUAAUCCAGAUUGCCAGUCUUGGGUUCUUUUAAUUAUUAUUACAGAAGUAUUCCAGUAUAAAAUUCAAGAAGUUUGUGUGUUUGGGGGAUCUCUAUCCUGACAGAGACUUUGGAAGGGAUUCGGUUGUUAGAUGGUUCUAUUGGUUUGUAACCCUGAGGUUUCUUGUUUAUAACUGUUGUUUUUAAGAGUAUUGUUUAAAAAAUGUGUCAAGUGAUACCCACCAAUUAGAGUUUGGGCUCUCACCAAGUUCUAACUUUAUUUGGAUGGAGUGAUUGACAAUCAACCCAGAUGUUUUCUGCACAAAAAUAUUCAAGUCUUUUUGACUUGGCAAUUUGACCAUCUAUGAUGGCUGAGCCUAUUUUCAGAGGGAGUUUGGAGAAACAUGAAUCCAGACAUGAUUUCUCCAGUUUUCUGUUGUUUUAAGGUUUAUCAGCUGUUGCAGAAUCUGGGAUGACAGUUCAGUGUUGUAGUGUUUAGUAAUUGUAUAAUCUUGUAUGUGUUAUUGAUUAUGUGUAUUAUCUAAUUCAAUUCAUAAUUACUGUUAUCUUACAUUUCUCUAUGUAACAUUGCAAAAUGGAACCAGGACCCAUUCUUCACCUCCAGGAUUUUGAGAAAAUCCUUCAGCCCCUGUGGGGAUGUGGGAUUUGUUUGUGUUUUAGCAGGUGCAAAGUCCAGGUGAAUUUCAGUGAAGAAUGUAAAACUCUAUCAAGUGCAAGAAAACGCUGACCACUCCACAAGCAAAGAAGACACACAGUGUGGACUGCGCAGAGAUUCCAACCCUUGUGCUUCGCCCACAGAAGAUUGUGGACUUUGGGUUUCUUCAUGGGUGUGGGAAUCAGGGAUGUUGUAGAUUUUUUGUUAGAUGGUAGCUUUUUACAUUUUAGUGGGACUUCUGCUCCUUGUGCCAUGCAUUUUUCAGUGCAUGUGGCAAGCCUUGAAUAAGGCUGCCAAAGACCUGUUUUUGGUGCAAACAGAAGGGGGAGAUGUUGGAACCCAGGACAUCCCUCUGGGUGCCCUGGAUGGCUUGUGCCCCUGGUAGGGGCUUGGAGAUCCUGGCAGAGGCUCAGAGACCCUGGCAGGAAGCCAAAGACACUUGGGAUUUUGAUCUUAACCCAUGGAGCAAAUUACCAACUUUGUAUGAAGAAUUAGAAGUCACAAAAGUUUAAGUGGCAUAAUAGUAGUUGUCACAGGGUGGAAAGUAGAAUUUUGAAGUUUUCGAACGGGGGUUUGGAGUCCCAAGAUGGAGGAAUUUGGGCGUUCCCUGUCCUUCUUCCUUCUUCUUUCUAGCCUCCAUCUUCUUGGUCAUGGUGGCACAUUUAGAUUGGUCUAGAGUAGAAGUAGACAGUCUAACAUAGGUGAUAGGUAUUGGGAAAUAGCUGUAAUUAAAGUCCACAUAGUUUUCAGUAUAAAGAGAUAGCUCUGCCUCAGGGCAGUGCAGUGUGCCCUUGACAGACCUGCAGAUCAGACCUCUGCAGGUGUGAGAGAAAAUAUUUUAGAUAACAGAUAAUAAACAACCUUGUGAAUCAGA